This 240-nucleotide unclassified non-coding RNA is filed under the name soil metagenome. RNAcentral's name for it is "partial contains 5.8S ribosomal RNA, internal transcribed spacer 2, and large subunit ribosomal RNA". The record is from RNAcentral.
AAGACUAUAGACCUGCGGAGUACCUGCGGAGGGAUCAUUACGUAUCUCUGACGGGAGGCGGUGCGCCCAGCUCCGGUCCAAACGGCCGUGCAGCGGGUGCCCGCCCCUGUUCACACCUCACAAACCCACCGUGAACCCUCACGGCAGAGGGAGGGGGCGACCCUUCCGAUGCCGCAUACCAAAAACACCUGUUGUACAGAACGUCGUGCGGACUCUGUUCCGCCUAAAUCACAAAACAAC